RNAcentral lists this ribosomal RNA (382 nucleotides) under uncultured bacterium. Its description in RNAcentral is "bacterial SSU rRNA". It matches the Rfam family "Bacterial small subunit ribosomal RNA", at positions 30 to 414 of the family's 1533-position model. The record is from RNAcentral.
AUUGAACGCUGGCGGCAUGCCUUACACAUGCAAGUCGAACGGCAGCACGGGAGCAAUCCUGGUGGCGAGUGGCGAACGGGUGAGUAAUAUAUCGGAACGUGCCCGGUCGUGGGGAUAACGUAGCGAAAGCUACGCUAAUACCGCAUACGAUCUACGGAUGAAAGCGGGGGAUCGCAAGACCUCGCGCGAUUGGAGCGGCCGAUAUCAGAUUAGGUAGUUGGUGAGGUAAAGGCUCACCAAGCCGACGAUCUGUAGCUGGUCUGAGAGGACGACCAGCCACACUGGGACUGAGACACGGCCUAGACUCCUACGGGAGGCAGCAGUGGGAAUAUUGGACAAUGGGCGAAAGCCUGAUCCAGCAAUGCCGCGUGAGUGAUGAAGG